RNAcentral lists this ribosomal RNA (270 nucleotides) under uncultured archaeon. Its description in RNAcentral is "partial 16S ribosomal RNA". It matches the Rfam family "Archaeal small subunit ribosomal RNA", at positions 477 to 747 of the family's 1478-position model. The record is from RNAcentral.
CAGCUCUCCGAGUUGUAGGGAUGAUUAUUGGGCUUAAAGCGUCCGUAGCCGGCUUAGCAAGUCUCCUGUUAAAUUCAGCGACCUAAUCGUUGAGCCGCGGGAAAUACUACUAGGCUAGGAGGCGGGAGAGGUCAACGGUACUUCCGGGGUAGGGGUGAAAUCCUAUAAUCCCGGGAGGACCACCAGUGGCGAAGGCUGUUGACUAGAACGCGCUCGACGGUGAGGGACGAAAGCUGGGGGAGCAAACCGGAUUAGAUACCCGAGUAGUCC